GAGGUUAUGGCUCAGUGGUAGAGCAUUCACCUAGCACAUGCAAGGUGCUGGAUUCAAUCCUCAGGGCCACA
Molecule: transfer RNA, 71 nt
Filed under: Marmota monax (woodchuck)
Lineage: Eukaryota; Metazoa; Chordata; Mammalia; Rodentia; Sciuridae
Description: tRNA.Ala
Source: RNAcentral